Molecule: long non-coding RNA, 245 nt
Filed under: Olea europaea (common olive)
Lineage: Eukaryota; Viridiplantae; Streptophyta; Magnoliopsida; Lamiales; Oleaceae
Description: long non-coding RNA (OEUR_LNC005772)
Source: RNAcentral
GCGGUCCCGCACAUUACUGUACCGACCCAAUAGCAUGAGUAUAGUGAGUCCAGUCUCGUUGAAAGUUUUAUUGUUGACAUUUGGAUUUUCUGGCAUUUGUUUCUAAGUAACUCCUUAUACAGCUGCAGUUGAUCAGUUCGAGCUCCAGCCUUGCGAGUGGACCAUUGUUAAGGCCAUAUAAGAGCUUUCUCUUGAGAAGAGGUUCUUCAAGACAGUUAUUGGAAGGAGGUGCCUGUUCGUAACGC